UGUUGAUACAAUUAUCGUAACCUCAGGUGUAGUGUGUCAUAUUUGUCUCUUGACUGAGAGAGUCAUUUUGAUUGGGCAAGAUAUUCAUCAGAGAAAACACAAACGACUUCUUGUUGUGUGCAUCAUUUUGCUGAUUUGUGAAUACCUUACCCAUGAUUUUUUCGAGCAUUUUGUGGAAGGUAUUGUGGAAACAGCUAACGGAAAUGCAAUAUUACAGAUCGUAAUACACAUUCUCAUGUAUGUCGUUACAUUUGAAAUAUUCCACAUAUCCCACUUUGAAUUUGGAAUAAUGGUAUACACUUAUCUUUGUAUAACCUACUACUUCAUUU
This 329-nucleotide long non-coding RNA is filed under the name Mytilus galloprovincialis (Mediterranean mussel). The record is from RNAcentral. Lineage: Eukaryota; Metazoa; Mollusca; Bivalvia; Mytilida; Mytilidae.